GACAGAGGGUGCAAACGUUGUUCGGAUUUACUGGGCGUAAAGCGCGUGUAGGCGGCUUUGCAAGUCGGAUGUGAAAGCCCACGGCUCAACCGUGGAAGUGCAUCCGAAACUGCAUGGCUUGAGUCUCGGAGAGGAAGGUGGAAUGCUUGGUGUAGAGGUGAAAUUCGUAGAUAUCAAGCGGAACACCGGUGGCGAAGGCGGCCUUCUGGACAGUGACUGACGCUGAGACGCGAAAGCGUGGGGAGCAAACAGG
RNAcentral lists this ribosomal RNA (253 nucleotides) under uncultured bacterium. RNAcentral describes it as "partial 16S ribosomal RNA". It matches the Rfam family "Bacterial small subunit ribosomal RNA", at positions 524 to 776 of the family's 1533-position model. The record is from RNAcentral.